GUCCGUGCGUAGACCUUUCCUCCCAUUUUCGCCGUCAUCGUCGUCGGUCACACGGCUGCCUCUGUGACUGUGUGCGUGUGAGUCUGCCAUCACCCCCCCCUUCCUUUUGCUUCCGUUCUGUUCAUGCCUGCCAAGAAGAAGUCAACAAAGGCAAACUCCUCCAAAAAGGAGGUUCUGCCAGAACCUGCGACGAUCAAGAACGGAACGGGCACCGUGUUCAUUGGCGGCUGGUCCUCGUACGACACGAUCGAGUCUGUGAGCCAGGCGAGUAGGUCGGUGAUCGCAGCCAACACGGACGCCGACGGGGUCGUUGCAGCGGCGCUGCCGCGCACUAAUGUCCUUGUCCUCCCGACGGAGAAAGCUGACGACGACGCGGACAGCGGAGCGGCACAGGCUCCAUUCGUCGUGGAGGUAGCGGAUCAAUUCUUCGUCGAGGGUGUGUCUCGUCAUCAGUGUGCGCAGGCCCAGGCGCUGGUGAAGACCUGGGAGCCAGCACCCGCACAGCCGACAGAGGCGACGGCACCUAGCGAGCAAAUCGCGGCCCCUGCACCGAAGGAGGAGGCUGUCAACCCCUACGCAGAUGCCGCGAGUGACCGACGGUACACGCAAGAGGUUUUGGUGGGAGCCAGCUAUGCCGCACGCGACGUUGUGAUUCGCGGCCCAUGCUCCAUCGAAGGUGUCGCCCCCAUCAUCGUCGUGCCGCCGCAACUUCCGGAAAAGCCGGACCUGGACGCGGUGACGCUGGACCCCCCCGCCGACAACGCCGCAGCCGCGGCAGGGGUGUCCACCAAGAAGAAAAAAACGGCAAAGAACAAAAAGAAGUCAAAACCGAAGCUGACACCAGAGCAGGUUGAGGAGCUGGAGAGGAAGAAGGCGGAAUUGGAGGCGCAAUACAUGCGACAAACGGAGGAGGCGGUGCAGCGCGCGAAGCAGGAGUCCGACUACCUCAUGACGUUCGCCCAUCCCGACCGCUGGGCGAACGUGGUGUUCCGCCACAUGACGUUUGCCGGGCCUGUACAAGUACAUCGCGCCCACGUCUCCUUCCAAAACUGCCGUUUCGUCGGCAUCACUAACACCGCCAUGUUGAAUCGGCCGCUGCUCCUCGUGAGCCAGUACUGCCGCGUGCAGUGCACCAAGUGCAGCUUCGAGGCUCCGCAGCGCUGCGGCAUCUACGCGCUCCCGAGCGCGCAGGUGGGGGUGCGGAAGUGUCUCUUUACCGGCGUGAAGCAGGAUAUCCUGUGGGCUGCGGCGCUGCCGGGUGUGUCGCCGCAGAACGCCGGCGCCGCCGCUUCCUUAGAGGUGGACGGCGGUGAUGACGACAGCGCUGGUCAUGGCCGACCUGUCUCGCCGACAGACGCGGCUGACGAUCACAGCGCCGACCACAAGGCUGCCGGCGUGCUAUCCUUUCCCGUCGCCCUUGGCGGCGAGCUCCAGGAAGCCGCGCGCGCGGCUCUCCACGACCGUAGCGCGGCAGUCGGAAUCCUGUCAGACUGCGCCAAGCUGAUGGUUCACGGUUGCGACUUUCUGUGCCUCGGGGUCGGUGUGUACGUGAAGGGCAGCUACACCGUCUACGUUUCUCAUCACAAGGCAGCCCCAAAGACGCCCCAACAGCUGACACCAGAGGCGUGCGACACGUCUUUGGACAGCAACUCGUUUCACCACUUCGCCAAUGCGGCGCUUUUGCUUGAUAGGUCGUCGCGGCUGGUGUCGAUUCGCCGUAGUUACGUCGAGGGGUCCGCCCACUACGGACUGGAUUGCCAGGGCGGCGCGAGCUCAGUGCUCGUGCGACAAAACUACUUCGCGGCCGAUGCGACGGUGCGCAUUCGCGAAGGCGCCAAGGUGGCGAUGCUGCACAACGACUUCCAGAGCAUUCCACUAAAUGACAAUUCCUACGGCAACCCGUGCCUGCAGUCCGUGUACUAAAGCUGCCGGACAGGUGCGGAAAACUUACGGUCUGUUUGCGUGGGUACGUGCUUAGCGGUUUGCGGCUGUCGUUGCGGGUGCGUGUGCAUGAGACGCGUGGGCACGUUGCACCAAGCCCGCUUCGUUGCUGUUACGCCAUCUUUUAGAAGCCGCUGGCGGCGGUUCGCCGAUGUACAGUUGUGAAGAAUAACGAGGGCGGAUGGUAACUAGGCAGGCGAGAGGACGCGGGGCGGGACCUGAUCAAGGAGACGUACGUCUCUCUCGUGGCGCACGCAGGCUGUUGAGAGAAGUCUGUAAAGGACCUGAGACUCAUCCUGCCUGCCCGCCCACUCCUUAUCUGAGCCUUUUGUUGUAGUUUUCUGUAGGUUGGCGAUUCGAAACCCGCCUUGAACGGUCGUUUGCUGCAGAGACAUGCCAUGUACCGUCUGGCCAUGUAAAUGCUCUCCUCUAUUGCAGAAAUGUUUUUUUUUUUCAGGCUCCAUCGUGUUGUCGCUGCACGCGUGCCUGCCGCACCCGGUAACCGGCAGGGAUAACCGUUUCUCCACAGACAAG
RNAcentral lists this unclassified non-coding RNA (2475 nucleotides) under Leishmania donovani. RNAcentral describes it as "gene:LdHU3.34.4880(CDS-product:hypothetical_prote in_conserved)". Lineage: Eukaryota; Euglenozoa; Kinetoplastea; Trypanosomatida; Trypanosomatidae. The record is from RNAcentral.